Molecule: ribosomal RNA, 460 nt
Filed under: uncultured bacterium
Lineage: Bacteria
Description: partial 16S ribosomal RNA
Rfam family: Bacterial small subunit ribosomal RNA
Source: RNAcentral
CCUACGGGUGGCAGCAGUGAGGAAUAUUGGUCAAUGGGCGCGAGCCUGAACCAGCCAAGUAGCGUGAAGGAUGACUGCCCUACGGGUUGUAAACUUCUUUUAUCAAGGAAUAAAGUGAGGCAUGUGUGCCUUUUUGUAUGUACUUUAUGAAUAAGGAUCGGCUAACUCCGUGCCAGCAACCGCGGGAAUACGGAGGGUCCGAACGUUAUCCGGAUUUAUUGGGUUUAAAGGGAGCGUAGAUGGGUUGUUAAGUCAGUUGGGAAAGUGUGCGGCUCAACCGUAAAAUUGCCAUUGAUACUGGCAGUCUUGAGUACAGGUGAGGUAGGCGGAAUUCGUGGUGUAGCGGUGAAAUGCUUAGAUAUCACGAAGAACUCCGAUUGCGAAGGCAGCUUACUAAACUGCCACUGACAUUGAUGCUCGAAAGUGUGGGGAUCAAACAGGAUUAGAUACCCUUGUAGUC